CUAUGUAAUUGGGUUUGGGGUGGACCGUGGGGGCCAGCCUCAGGGCAUUUGUAGAUAUUACCUGCCUACUUCCUUAUGUGAGAAUAUGGAAGCUUAGCGAAAGGCUGUGUGUAUCCAUGAUGAUUCAGUAGUUUGUGCUGUGUGAUGAUGUGUUCUAUAAUCAGUUGCUGAGCUCAUGAAGACUCUAGAAAGGGAGAAAAAGGCUUCCACUCCAGGAGCUGAGAAGGGAGAAAAAGGGAAGAAGGAGAAGAAGAAACAAAGAAGAAAGAAAGGGGAAAAGAAGUAUAAGGGAAUGGUUAACUGCCCUUAACUCUCCUAUUUCUGACAAUGCAAGCAGAGCUGGAUACAAGACUGAAGAUUUAGGGAUAUCCUACAGCUUCUAACAUUUGGCCAUAGGAUAUAGGGGACACUGCCUGUAAUUUAAUCUUGAAGGUGA
Molecule: long non-coding RNA, 436 nt
Filed under: Monodelphis domestica (gray short-tailed opossum)
Lineage: Eukaryota; Metazoa; Chordata; Mammalia; Didelphimorphia; Didelphidae
Description: lncRNA (ENSMODG00000041234.1)
Source: RNAcentral